Molecule: long non-coding RNA, 956 nt
Filed under: Nicotiana tabacum (common tobacco)
Lineage: Eukaryota; Viridiplantae; Streptophyta; Magnoliopsida; Solanales; Solanaceae
Description: long non-coding RNA (NTAB_LNC006600)
Source: RNAcentral
AGGGCUUCUUCUUAAUCACCAAUCACAUAAGACACUAUAAAGACAUGGCUACGAGGAAGGCUGCAUACAGUUUGUUUCCAUUGGUGUUUGUCAUUCUUAUCUCAAUUGGUCUCUCUCGCUCUUUCUCUCUCAUAUAUAAUACACACUCACUUCGUAUUUAUUUAUUUAUUUAUACACACACAUAACACACCUUAAUAUUGAAAUUCCAUUUGGAAAUUACAUCUUUUUAUGACAAAAUUGCAAAAUUAAUGUAAAGAGUAUAGUGACCACAUUUUCUUCAAAGCCAUUUUAUUAUUUCAUGAUCUUCCACAUUUCUUUAUGUGUGUACCUUUAUCCCAUUGAGAGGAUUUUGUAUAUAUUCUUUGUAGAGAAAGACGAACAUAAAUUAAAAGAGAGGAAGGGGGUUGAAUCUAAAAGUAAUAUUAUCCCUUCUUGGGAAAUGAUGCUUGAGUCACGUAGAUUGACUAACCUAACUCACCCUUAAGUAAACUUCUACAAUUAGAUAUUCUGCCAACAUGUGUUGUAAGGUUUUUCUUAUGUCUUAAUUCACAUAAACAAAAGUAUGAGUAGAACUAUUCUUUCCCUAUUCUUAAUCAUAGUCAUCUUUAACUCAUAAUUACAUUAGUGACAUAUAUAUAGACCACCAUAUUCAAAGAAAUAUUUUCACACUCACGUAUUAAUCAUUUACAUUAUAGUUACUCAAAUUUUACUUUGUUGACAGGUUUGCAAAGUGUGGAUGCUGCUUGGGGCCAUCCAUGUAAAGUCAGCCAGGACUGUGUGACUUACUGUAAAGUCCCCAUUAGUAGAGGCAGUCCACUCUGCCUAGGAGGACAUUGCACGUGUGAAGCUGUGGAAAAACAUGAAACUAUAGUAGCUCGAAAAUUUUUACAUGACUAGGAAUAAGGGAUCUAUGGUUUUAUGUAAGAACAAUUAAAUUUAUAUUGGAUUAAUUUCUC